AGCUCACUGGACCAGUGGUUCUGCGCCGAAAAUGUAACGGGGCUAAGCGACGUACCGAAGCUUUGGACUCUUUUAGAGUGGUAGAGGAGCAUUGUGUUUACCGACGAAGGCAUACCGUGAGGAGUGCUGGAGGUCCCACAAGAGCUGAUGGUGGCAUAAGUAGCGAUAAGGAGGGCGAGAACCCCUCCCGCCGAAAAUCCAAGGGUUCCUAGGCCAGGUAACUCCGCCUAGGGUAAGCCGGUACCUAAGCCGAGGCUGAAGAGCGUAGGCGAUGGACAACAGGUUAAUAUUCCUGUGCUUGGUAUAUAGUGUUUGACUGAAGGAGUGACGGAGAAAGGUAGCGAAUCAGGGCGUUGGUUGUCCCUGUUUAAGCAAGUAGGGUGUGUUGUAGGCAAAUCCGCAACACGUUAAGCCUGAGAUGUGAUGACGAGUCCUUUGGACGAAGUUCGUGAUCCUCUGCUUCCAAGAAAAACUUCGUAGGGAAUUAUAUAUCAAUCCGUACCCCAAACCGACACAGGUGGAUGGGAUGAGAAUUCUAAGGCGAUUGGACGAACUCUUGUUAAGGAACUCUGCAAAAUGGUGCCGUAACUUAGGGAUAAGGCACGCCAUUGUUGGUGUAGUCACUUGCUGACGAAGCUGAUGAUGGCCGCAGUGAAAAGGUGGUAGCGACUGUUUAUCAAAAACAUAGGUCUAUGCAAACACGUAAGUGGACGUAUAUGGACUGACGCCUGCCCGGUGCUCGAAGGUUAAGAGGUGAGGUUAGCGCAAGCGAAGCUUUAAAUCGAAGCCCGGGUAAACGGCGGCCGUAACUAUAACGGUCCUAAGGUAGCGAAAUUCCUAGUCGGGUAAGUUCCGACCUGCACGAAUGGCGUAACGACUUCCACACUGUCUCAACAAGAGGUCCAGCGAAAUUGGUGAGUGUGUGAAAAAACACACUACCCGCGGAAGGACGAAAAGACCCCGUGAACCUUUACUGUAACUUGGCAUUGGGUUUCGAUUAACGAUGCGUAGGAUAGGUGGGAGAUUUUGAUCCGUGCGUUCUGGCGUACGGGGAGUCAUCCUUGAAAUACCACCCUUCGUUAAUUGGAAUCCUAACCUGCGGUCAUAAUCUGGCCGGGGGACAAUGUCUGGUGGGCAGUUUGACUGGGGCGGUCGCCUCCUAAAGAGUAACGGAGGCGCGCUAAGGUUCCCUCAGCCUGAAUGGAAACCAGGCGUAGAGUGUAAACGCAUAAGGGAGCUUAACUGCGAGACAUACACGUCGAGCAGAUGCGAAAGCAGGCGUUAGUGAUCCGGUGGUUCCGAGUGGAAGGGCCAUCGCUCAACGGAU
RNAcentral lists this ribosomal RNA (1327 nucleotides) under marine metagenome. RNAcentral describes it as "bacterial LSU rRNA". It matches the Rfam family "Bacterial large subunit ribosomal RNA", at positions 1139 to 2457 of the family's 2925-position model. The record is from RNAcentral.